AUGACCGUUAUCGGGGAUGCAGAUGGUGAAGUUGAUCAAUAUUGCUCCGAGUAUUUCUCUGUUGCCAAAUUUAUGGCUGCUUAUGCUGACAAUGUGCCUGCACUCUUGGGGAAAGAUCAAUGGAACAUAGUAGAUCUAGGGUUCAAACUCCAUGGUCCUAUCAUUACUAGACCACCAGGAAGACCAAGGAACCAGAGGGUUAGAGCAGGUGAGGAGGGUCGUCUACCAAAGAAGCAUGCUUGCAAAAAAUGUGGAGUUCUGGGGCAUAUUGCUAGGCUUUGUACCAAUGCAGUGGGUGCAUCAUUUGGAGAGGAGGAAAGAUGGACAACAGCCAAUGUAGAGGAGAAUGCAGCAGCAAUGGAGACUGAAGAUGUAGAGGACAAUGCAGCAGCAAUGGAGACUGAAGAUGUAGUGGAGAAUGCAGCAGCAAAUAAAGCAGUGGAGAAUGCAGCAGCAAAUGAAGCAUCUUGCUCUAGGUAG
RNAcentral lists this ribosomal RNA (480 nucleotides) under Triticum aestivum (bread wheat). RNAcentral's name for it is "partial small subunit ribosomal RNA". The record is from RNAcentral. Lineage: Eukaryota; Viridiplantae; Streptophyta; Magnoliopsida; Poales; Poaceae.